Choloepus didactylus (southern two-toed sloth) is the source of this 411-nucleotide long non-coding RNA. RefSeq lists it as uncharacterized. The record is from RefSeq and is a predicted model, not a curated record. Lineage: Eukaryota; Metazoa; Chordata; Mammalia; Pilosa; Megalonychidae. The transcript is spliced from 3 exons.
UUUCCUUUGAGAUUCAGAGCACUUUUGUGCUUUUUUUCUUCCAGGAAGGGGCCAGACGCUGUUCACUCUCCCAUUACCAGCGAAAUCUCGCAUGCGUAAGCAGCCACUUCCCAUCGAUUGCCAGGAAAGCAGCUGCCAGACCUAAUGUCGAAGGAGAGCACAGGAAUCCAGCUGUUCUCCAUUGCCAGACAGUUUGUGAGAGGUUUAACUGCAUCUUCCAUUGGCUCCAGCAGCUGGUGUGGAUGCUGCCCCAAGAGGAGACUUAAAUCAUCCCGCCCUAUACAACCUUGACAUCAGUUUCAACCGAAGCACUGCGUAUGAAUUUGAAACCAUACCAUAUGUAUGUAUAUGAUGAACUCUUCAGUGGAUCACAGCGUUCCACAAGGAAAAGCCUGAAACUUCCCAUACUGG